GAUGAACGCUGGCGGCGUGCCUAAUACAUGCAAGUCGAGCGAACGGACGAGAAGCUUGCUUCUCUGAUGUUAGCGGCGGACGGGUGAGUAACACGUGGAUAACCUACCUAUAAGACUGGGAUAACUUCGGGAAACCGGAGCUAAUACCGGAUAAUAUUUUGAACCGCAUGGUUCAAAAGUGAAAGACGGUCUUGCUGUCACUUAUAGAUGGAUCCGCGCUGCAUUAGCUAGUUGGUAAGGUAACGGCUUACCAAGGCAACGAUGCAUAGCCGACCUGAGAGGGGGAUCGGCCCCACGGGAACGGAGACACGGUCCAGCACCCUCAGGGAGGCAGCAGUGGGGAAUCUUCCGCAAUGGGCGAAAGCCUGACGGAGAAACGCCGCGUGAGGAAUGAAGGUCUUCGGAUCGUAAAACUCUGUUAUUAGGGAAAAAAAUUUUUGUAAGUAACUGUGAAAAUUUUGACUGUACCUAAUCAAAAAGCCCCGGCUAACUGCGU
This 496-nucleotide ribosomal RNA is filed under the name uncultured bacterium. Its description in RNAcentral is "partial 16S ribosomal RNA". It matches the Rfam family "Bacterial small subunit ribosomal RNA", at positions 28 to 506 of the family's 1533-position model. The record is from RNAcentral.